Molecule: non-coding RNA, 30 nt
Filed under: Rattus norvegicus (Norway rat)
Lineage: Eukaryota; Metazoa; Chordata; Mammalia; Rodentia; Muridae
Source: RNAcentral
UUCCAGGUCACCAUAACUGAGUCUUGGACU